Long non-coding RNA from Gossypium raimondii (Peruvian cotton), 1508 nucleotides. RefSeq lists it as uncharacterized. Lineage: Eukaryota; Viridiplantae; Streptophyta; Magnoliopsida; Malvales; Malvaceae. The transcript has 2 exons. The record is from RefSeq and is a predicted model, not a curated record.
UUACUUUACCAAACCAAAUGAAAAUAAACCAUCAAAACAAAAAAAAUUGAAAACCCAUCUUCUUCCCUUACACCCCCACGCAUACUAGUAAAAAACAACACUUCAACUCUCACCAUAGACUCAUUGAUAGGUACUGGUUUGAAGCGAUUCAACGAAAACGCUAGUUCUCAUCCUCUAUUGUAACAUUCUUUCCAAUCCGACCGUGACCGUUAUGUGGUUCUAAACAAAUUCCUUUCCUCGACCACCACAAUCUCUUGAAUCGCCAACGAGUCCUCCACCCAUCGGACAUCUCGCUUCUGAAUGAAGCCUUCCUUCGCCAGCAGGUGAGCCACCCGAUUACCUCCCCUUUUGAUAUGCUGAAAUUUGAAGCUUUCAAAACCCAUUAUAAUUUUUUUACCUUCCCAAAUGUAAUUACUAACCUCCGAUCUAUCCAUACCUUGCAUCUUGAUCUUUGAAAUAAUCACCAAUGAGUCUCCUUCAACCUUGAAUUUUUGAAACCCCAUCUCUUGGGCAAAUCGGACGGCCUGAACGGCUGCCAAAGCUUUCACCGCCUCCACAGACGGGUAUGUCUUUAGGCAACCAGGCUAUAUCCCAAACUAGUAUUGAUUUUCCAUCGUCAACUUGCCAGCUACUCCUUUCAACAAGAGCUCCUUUGCUACCCAAAUGCUCCUCCAUGUAGUCAAAGGUUGACUCCCUAACUCAACUUGUAAAAAUUCACUACUUUCGUAGUGUUUUGCUUCCAAUACACGUGCUACCAAUGAUGUAGGAUUACAAAUUAACUGCAACCCCUGCUUGGCCAAAAGUGCAAAAUUAAACUUCGUUAGAUUUUGGAAAUCUAAUCCCCCGCGCUCAUUCAAAUUGCCCAACCUCUCCUAUGAACACCAAUGAAUCUCACGAUUUGACUAUGAUUUUUACCACCAAUAACGAUAGAGUCCUGUUUCUAUUUCCUCACAAAAAGAAUUAGGCCUAAAGGUAGACUAACAUGUUAGCUGAGUUGUAAGACAUAACUUUAAGGCAGAAAGAGAGUGGACGGCUCUCGAUGUUUCAACACAGAGCUUAGAUGUCGUAGCAUAAACCAUAGGUUGUCAUGACACAACCAUAAAGACACACUCAAAGAAGCAAUUUGCCAUCAGUUUCAUGACACAAGCUUGAUGGUGUCAUGACACCGAUACGAUGUGGCCAAUUAAUGAAGUAAAGGUGUUUUUGUCUGUGCAACACAAAUUAAUGAAGUUUAGUCAGCCAUUUUAGACCUGUUAGUGUAGGGACGAAUAUUAGUUUAAUCAAGCCUCCUUUGGGUACGAUCCUUAGAGUAUUUCUUGUACUUCGUUGUACAAAAUUAUAUUACAACCUGACCCGUAUAUUUGCAAGCACCGCCUUAAUUCAUAUAUUUAGUUGUAGUAUUCUCACUUCCAACGUGUUGGGAAAUGCGCCCAUAUUGUAGUAAACAUGUAACUAUUUUCUAUUUAUUUCAAUGAUGAAUAAAUAAAUAAAAUUAAUUUCACAUUUCA